RNAcentral lists this ribosomal RNA (256 nucleotides) under uncultured bacterium. RNAcentral's name for it is "partial 16S ribosomal RNA". It matches the Rfam family "Bacterial small subunit ribosomal RNA", at positions 524 to 776 of the family's 1533-position model. The record is from RNAcentral.
UACGAAGGGUGCAAGCGUUACGUCGGAAUUACUGGGCGUAAAGCGUGCGUAGGUGGUUUGUUAAGUCUGCUGUGAAAGCCCCGGGCUCAACCUGGGAAUGGCAGUGGAUACUGGCAAGCUAGAGUGCGGUAGAGGGGUGUGGAAUUCCCGGUGUAGCGGUGAAAUGCGUAGAGAGUCGGGAGGAACACCAACGGCGAAGGCAGCUCGCUGGGACGGUACUGACACUGAGGCGCGAAAGCGUGGGGGAGCGAACAGG